GGGUCGUUAGCUCAGCGGUAGAGCAUCUCGUUUACACCGAGGAGGUCGACAGUUCGAUCCUGUCACGACCCACCA
Molecule: transfer RNA, 75 nt
Filed under: Candidatus Cytomitobacter primus
Lineage: Bacteria; Pseudomonadati; Pseudomonadota; Alphaproteobacteria; Holosporales; Holosporaceae
Description: tRNA-Val
Rfam family: tRNA
About the family: Transfer RNA (tRNA) molecules are approximately 80 nucleotides in length. Their secondary structure includes four short double-helical elements and three loops (D, anti-codon, and T loops).
Source: RNAcentral